GAUGAACGCUGGCGGCGUGCCUAAUACAUGCAAGUCGAGCGAAGAGGGGACGGGUGAGUGUCACGUGUAGAAACUCCUAUAAGACUGGGGUAAAUUCGGGAAACCGGAACUAAACCCGCUACUUAUAGCUGGAUCGACGCGGCAUUAGCUAGUUGGUAGGGUAACGGCGUACCAAGGCAACGAUGCAUAGCCGACCUGAGAGGGUGAUCGGCCACACUGGAACUGAGACACGGUCCAGACUCCUACGGGAGGCAGCAGUAGGGAAUCUUCCGCAAUGGGCGAAAGCCUGACGGAGCAACGCCGCGUGAGUGAUGAAGGUCUUCGGAUUGUAAAACUCUGUUAUUAGGGAAGCGGUACCUAAUCAGAAAGCCACGGCUAACUCCGUGCCAGCAGCCGCGGUAAUUC
Molecule: ribosomal RNA, 405 nt
Filed under: uncultured bacterium
Lineage: Bacteria
Description: partial 16S ribosomal RNA
Rfam family: Bacterial small subunit ribosomal RNA
Source: RNAcentral